AGAGGCAUAGCUGGGUCAUAUGGUGGUUCCAUUCCUAGUUUUUUGAGGAAUCUCCAUACUGCUUUCUAGAGUGGUUUUACUAAUUUGCAUUCCCAUCAACAAU
This 103-nucleotide microRNA precursor is filed under the name Marmota monax (woodchuck). The record is from RNAcentral. Lineage: Eukaryota; Metazoa; Chordata; Mammalia; Rodentia; Sciuridae.